Molecule: small nuclear RNA, 160 nt
Organism: Octodon degus (degu)
Lineage: Eukaryota; Metazoa; Chordata; Mammalia; Rodentia; Octodontidae
Gene: U1
Rfam family: U1 spliceosomal RNA
About the family: U1 is a small nuclear RNA (snRNA) component of the spliceosome (involved in pre-mRNA splicing). Its 5' end forms complementary base pairs with the 5' splice junction, thus defining the 5' donor site of an intron.
Source: Ensembl
ACACUUAACAUGGCAGGGGAGAUGCCAUGUUAAAGUGGUUUCCCCAGGUCAAGGUUUAUCCACUGCAUUGUGGAUGGGUAGGCCUGUUCAAGCUCCACAAAUGCAGAAACGUGACUGCAUAAUUUGUGGUAGUGGGGGACUGUAAUUGCAUUUUCCCCUA